Aethalodelphis obliquidens (Pacific white-sided dolphin) is the source of this 1095-nucleotide long non-coding RNA. RefSeq lists it as uncharacterized. Lineage: Eukaryota; Metazoa; Chordata; Mammalia; Artiodactyla; Delphinidae. The transcript has 2 exons. The record is from RefSeq and is a predicted model, not a curated record.
GGUGAAUUAUUCUCUGUAACCUGACUUCUGCCCAUGAGAGGACCUUCCCCAGCAAUCUCCCAACGCCUCAUGAAUAGGUACUGUUCCAGAUCCUGGGGAGACACAGAUGAAAAAGAAAGGCAAAAUCUCUCCCAUCUUGGAGAGGGACCACAUAUCUUGGAUGCCCUUUUUCCAGUGGUUGAAAUUCUAUCCAUCCUUAAGGUACUGUUGACAUCUCUCUCUAAAGGCUGUAGCAACUCCCUAGCCCAGAUUUACUAGUUCUCUGAGCUCCCUAUAUUUAUUUAUUUAUUUGCUUGCUUAUUUACUUGUUUUUGAUGGCGCUUAUCAUAUUCUGCCUUAUAUUUUAAGUAUUUGGUUUUCUUUUUUUAUUUGCUUUUCUUAUUUUUUAACUUUAUUGAGGAAUAAUUGACAAAUAUAAUCGUAUAUAUUUAAAGUGCAAAACAUGAUUAUUUGCUAUACAUAUACAUCAUCAUGGAAUAAUUACCAAUAUCAAUAUAAUUAACACAUCGAAAGACAUACAAAUGACCAAUAGGUAUAUGAAAAGGUGCUCAACAUCACUAAUCAUUGGAGAAGUGUAAAUCAAGACCACAGUGAGUACUUAUUUUUCUUAAAAAGAUUUCUGGACAGUUUGAGGUCACAGACUAUGUGUUUUGUUUUUUGGUUUUUUUAAACUUACUAGUCUCCAUAAUGCUGAGCACAGUUCUUUAUUCAUAAUAAAUGUUCAAUAUUUAUUUGUUUUAUGAAUGAAAAAUCAAAUGAACCUGGGAUCCAGAGUUAGCCCAGGGAUCCAUUCUAAGCAUUUACCUGUUCUCAGUGUCCUUUUCCUGUGUUCCAGUAUAUAAUUUCUAAGCAUUAUUGACCCUUAUGCAACUAUUAUCAUCUAGUCAUUAAAAUCUACAACACUUAAGUGUUUUAAUAUUCAGGAUAUUUAGAAAAUUUUUACAUGGUAUGCAACCAUAAAAUUUAAUAUAAUAGUCUAAUCAAAUGUGAUCAUUUUAAUACAACAUAAACUUAAUGUAAUUAGUUCAAGCACCUAUCAUUCUAAUAUAGACUUUAUAAACUUAAACAUGGUAUUCUUUCCCUUUCCUGAGAAGA